Frankliniella occidentalis (western flower thrips) is the source of this 576-nucleotide RNA transcript. RefSeq lists it as uncharacterized. The transcript has 3 exons. NCBI's taxonomy places the organism in Eukaryota, Metazoa, Arthropoda, Insecta, Thysanoptera, Thripidae. The record is from RefSeq and is a predicted model, not a curated record.
CGGCCAGCCCCGCACCGAGGCGGUGUGGUGAGGCUCGCGGCAGCCGAACGGCAGCGAUCUCGCGGGGGCCUGACGGAGCGGCGCGCGUCUCGACGUUCGCCCUGAACACGCUCUCGCUCCGCGACGGGACGAUAGGUGCCGGUGCGCCGGUCCGACGGAGGAGCGGACUGUUUCGACUGCCUCGUUGGGACCGCGUGUUUCUCCCGUGUGUGCGUGUGUUGGCCAUUCUUCAUUUUUGGCUCGCGCUUCGGCGCGUGUGUACCUGCGCGAAAAUGGGGGGUCGGCGCCCGUUCGUCAGCAAAGUGGACAUGAUCGUAAAAUCAAGCUGACAUCCCGCGGUGAUCGCGCGCGUUGCGAGGCAUCUCGAUAUCGGCGAUUUCCUCGAGACGAGACGAGCGCCGUUUGUGCAAAUAUCCGCCUGUGCCCCGACAGCAAUACUGAUUGUAUGGCCCUCGCACAGUGCACACUCGGAAGCCCAAUCGCAGCAAAUGCAAUGCAGUUCUAAAUUAUACACGUGGUCUGAAAAUUGGCCGUGAGACGAGGCAGAGGAGAACGGUGAGUGCGAUUGGGAAUGGA